GUCCAGGGAUGGGAAUCGAACCCACAGUUUUCUGGGCAAAUGCCAUGUACACUAGGCUACCCUGGA
Cordylochernes scorpioides is the source of this 66-nucleotide non-coding RNA. NCBI's taxonomy places the organism in Eukaryota, Metazoa, Arthropoda, Arachnida, Pseudoscorpiones, Chernetidae. The record is from the annotation of a GenBank genome assembly.